CCCGCUGAACUUAAGCAUAUCAAUAAGCGGAGGAAAAGAAACUAACAAGGAUUCCCCUAGUAACUGCGAGUGAAGCGGGAAGAGCUCAAAUUUUGAAUCUGGCGGUGUUUGGCCGUCCGAGUUGUAAUCUAGAGAAGCGUCUUCCGCGCUGGACCGUGUACAAGUCUCCUGGAAGGGAGCGUCAUAGAGGGUGAGAAUCCCGUCUUUGACACGGACUACCAGUGCUAUGUGAUGCGCUCUCGACGAGUCGAGUUGUUUGGGAAUGCAGCUCAAAAUGGGUGGUAAAUUCCAUCUAAAGCUAAAUACAGGCGAGAGACCGAUAGCGAACAAGUACCGUGAGGGAAAGACGAAAAGAACUUUGAAAAGAGAGUGAAAAAGUACGUGAAAUUGUUGAAAGGGAAGGGCUUGAAAUCAGACUUGGUAUUCAAUGAUCAAUUUUCUUUCGGGGAGAUGCACUCGUUGUUUACUGGGCCAACAUCGAUUUAGACGGUGAGAUAAUGACAGUUGAAUGUGGCUUGCUUCGGUAAGUGUUAUAGCUUCUGUUGAUAUCAUCAGUUUAGAUCGAGGACUGCGCAUUUUUGCUAGGAUGUUGGCGUAAUGAUUUUAAGCCACCCGUCUUGAAACACGG
Molecule: ribosomal RNA, 628 nt
Filed under: uncultured fungus
Lineage: Eukaryota; Fungi
Description: eukaryotic LSU rRNA
Rfam family: Eukaryotic large subunit ribosomal RNA
Source: RNAcentral